Molecule: ribosomal RNA, 490 nt
Filed under: uncultured bacterium
Lineage: Bacteria
Description: partial 16S ribosomal RNA
Rfam family: Bacterial small subunit ribosomal RNA
Source: RNAcentral
AUUGAACGCUGGCGGCAGGCCUAACACAUGCAAGUCGAACGGUAACAGGAAGAAGCUUGCUUCUUUGCUGACGAGUGGCGGACGGGUGAGGAAUGUCUGGGAAACUGCCUGAUGGAGGGGGAUAACUACUGGAAACGGUAGCUAAUACCGCAUAACGUCGCAAGACCAAAGAGGGGGACCUUCGGGCCUCUUGCCAUCGGAUGUGCCCAGAUGGGAGUAGCUAGUAGGUGGGGUAACGGCCCACCCAGGCGACGAUCCCUAGCUGGUUUGAGAGGAGGACCACCCACCCUGGAAUUGGGACACGGUCCAGACUCCUCCGGGAGGCAGCGGUGGGGAAUAUUGCACAAUGGGCGCAAGCCUGAUGCAGCCAUGCCGCGUGUAUGAAGAAGGCCUUCGGUUUUUAAAGUACUUUCAGCGGGGAGGAAGGGAGUAAAGUUAAUACCUUUGCUCAUUGACGUUACCCGCAGAAGAAGCACCGGCUAACUCCGUG